This is a long non-coding RNA of Acinonyx jubatus (cheetah), 2698 nucleotides long. RefSeq lists it as uncharacterized. The transcript has 4 exons. NCBI's taxonomy places the organism in Eukaryota, Metazoa, Chordata, Mammalia, Carnivora, Felidae. The record is from RefSeq and is a predicted model, not a curated record.
AUGUGCCCUGUUCUAUUGACAGAUGAGGCAACUGAACACCAGAGAUGCAAGAUGAGUUUUUGGAAAUCAGGCAACUAAUUAGCAGCAGAACGAAGCCCUUUUCCUUGGAAGAAUCCAAGUGGACUGUGGAAACUUAUAGAAUCUACAUGUCUACCCCUCAAACAUGGAGCAACUGACAGAGGCCACAGAAGCCAGAGUUAAGAAACCGUAAGCAAAGGGAGGGGAGGACCCUUGCCCUAUUCCAGCUCCAGCCCAAUGCCAAGCUCUUGGAGCUGAGUAACCACCUGUUGAUUGAUCGUUACCGUGGCAAGAGCCUCCGAAAGAGCAUGAACAAACAAGUGAGGAGACUGAGCACAGAGAGUGAAGCGAUUUGGCACAGGUCAAACCACUGUUACGAGGAGGAGGAGGGACGCAAGCUCCACCCCCCUGACCGCAGAGCCUGGGCAGGAAAUCACCACUUUCACUGAUGUUAUUCUGUCACUUUCAUAUCCACGAAAUGAAUAGGCAUUUACAGGGGAAGAUGUACAAUAUGGAUAUAAAACAACAAUCAGAAUCAUUUAUUACUUACCUGCUCUGGUGGUACUGACAACAGAAUAAAAGGAAUCACAUCAACAAUAAUAAAAAACUUUGCCUAGAGGGAAAUAGACAUAUGAAGUAACACCAUAAACAGAUAUUCUGUAUUUUCUUUUUUACGAUUCUACUCCUUUUGUCCCAUUUUACUUGACAUAUGGCUCACUUCAUAAGAACGUUUAAAUAUUGAUUUCCAAAUAGCUUCACUUACUUGGUCCUAAAACAAUAUUAACAGACCAUGUAGCUUCCGGAAGGAUCUGUUCUGCUGUUUCUGUAAAAAAAAAAAAAAAAAAAAGGAAAAGAAAAGAAAUGUUUUGGUUUUCUCAGCAUUUUUGAAUCAAGAGAGUUAGUUGGUCCCAAAUAUACCCAAACAUACCCAAACAUAAUGACCAUAUGAUUUCUUUUUUAAAGGCUAUGAUUAAGGCUACCUUUAAGAGACACGGCCAUCAGUGAGACCUCUGAGUGAAACCUUUCAGAUGAGCAUCUGUCCUCUCCAAGGUGUGAAAUCACAUUUGGCAAACAGCCUUCUAACCCCCAGAAUGCUCAACACGAGACCCAUCAUGUUUUAUGUCUGCACACAAUAAAGAUAGCUGUGUAAACUGCGUGUACUCCUCAAAACAUCUUUGCCACUCAAGUCACUAGGAGGUUUUUCCCCUGCCUUUCCAUUCUGCUUCAAAUAUCAGAUAUAACAAAAUGUUUAUUUUUUUUAAAGUUUAUUUAUUUUUAGUAAUCUCUACACCCAACUGGGGCUCAAACCCACAACGCCGAGAUCAAGAGUCACACACUCCUCUCUGACUGAGCCAGUCAGGCACCCCAGAGAUACAAAAUGUUUAAUUUGGUAGCUGCGAUAAUUUUCACCCUGGAAAUAUUUAUUAUAUUUACAUAAAAGCCAGUAAGAUCUUUGAAAUAGAUUUAAAAAUAUAUACAUAAACCCAAUGUGGGGGAGGGACACCAAAAUUAUAGCAAACAGUGGUAAGGUAACUAUAUCAAAAAAUCAAAAAGGUAUAAUUGUCUUUUAACAUACCUGGAUGGUACUAAAAAGAAAAAGAUGAUUUCGGGGCGCCUCAGUCAGUUGAGCGUCCGACUUCGGCUCAGGUCAUGAUCUUGCGGUCUGUGAGUUCGAGCUCCAAGUCGGGCUUUGUGCUGACAGCUCAGAGCCUGGAGCCUGCUUCGAAUUCUGUGUCUCCCUCUCUCUCUGCCCCUCCCCUACUCAUGCUCUGUCUCUCUCUGUCUCAGAAAUAAAUAAAUAUUUUAAAAAAUUUAAAAAGAAAAAGAUGAUCUCUCAAAAACCUCACAUAACCUAUUUCCACUCCAAAGUUCCUAAAGAUGAUCUUUUGGUGGGGGGGGGGGGGAAUGUAUGGAUUGCUUACUAUGUCUUAAGCACUUUACUUGCAUGAUUCCAUUUAAUAUCUGCAACAGCUCUUUAAGGUAGCUGCAUUUAUUAUCACCUACUUACAGAUGAGAAAAUGUAGUCUUACAAAGAGGUAAGUAACUGUGAGCAGUUACACAGAUGUUAGGUGGCCGAGCCAGAAUUUAAACUCAGGACUGACUCCAGAGCCCAACCUCCCCAGCUAUCCCUAGAUGACAAGAAAUAAUGACUGCAAUUUUCCUCAGCUGAAUUUCAAGCCCUAAGAACGUGCAAACUCGGAACCGAGUAGAAUGCUUUGCGCUGAACCUCGAACAAUCCAACAAGAGAAACGGGAUCGCAAAAUGCAGCUUUCAAAGCGGGGACCCAGAGUCACAUGUCCUCACCAGCAGCAGCAGAAGAUUCUCACCACUCCCCGGUGGGGGGAGGGUGGGAGGAAGGCUCUCCUCCCCACCCUCCUGAACAGCCUGUGGACAUUCUUCUCAAAGACUCUCACAGCCGCUCUGGCAUCCCUCCCCUUUCUGCCUCCCCUUCAAAGCUCUGGUGGUCAGUGCGUCUUCUUUCCCAUCCUCUGGGGUUUCACCCAGCAGCCAAUCAAUAAAUAUUUGUCGAAUGAAUAAAUGAAUGAAUGAGUGAAUGAACAAACAGCUGUCAAACCAGUCACAGAUGGAAAAGUACACAGAGGUGCAUAAAUAGUAAGCUGUUUGCCCAAAAUAGCCUCAGCUUGACCAGAAGGUAAAGCUCACCAAACUUCACCGUUCA